This 467-nucleotide ribosomal RNA is filed under the name uncultured bacterium. Its description in RNAcentral is "partial 16S ribosomal RNA". It matches the Rfam family "Bacterial small subunit ribosomal RNA", at positions 28 to 506 of the family's 1533-position model. The record is from RNAcentral.
GACGAACGCUGGCGGCGUGCUUAACACAUGCCAGUCGAACGGAAAGGCCCUGCUUUUGUGGGGUGCUCGAGUGGCGAACGGGUGAGUAACACGUGAGUAACCUGCCCUUGACUUUGGGAUAACUUCAGGAAACUGGGGCUAAUACCGGAUAGGAGCUCCUGCUGCAUGGUGGGGGUUGGAAAGUUUCGGCGGUUGGGGAUGGACUCGCGGCUUAUCAGCUUGUUGGUGGGGUAGUGGCUUACCAAGGCUUUGACGGGUAGCCGGCCUGAGAGGGUGACCGGCCACAUUGGGACUGGGAUACGGCCCAGACUCCUACGGGAGGCAGCAGUGGGGAAUAUUGCACAAUGGGCGGAAGCCUGAUGCAGCAACGCCGCGUGCGGGAUGACGGCCUUCGGGUUGUAAACCGCUUUCGCCUGUGACGAAGCGUGAGUGACGGUAAUGGGUAAAGAAGCACCGGCUAACUACGU